This 505-nucleotide unclassified non-coding RNA is filed under the name Hevea brasiliensis (rubber tree). Lineage: Eukaryota; Viridiplantae; Streptophyta; Magnoliopsida; Malpighiales; Euphorbiaceae. The record is from RNAcentral.
CUCAUUUGUUGUCUUUAAUUAUUUCCCUUGUGUCAAGAUCUGCUAAACCCGUUCCUUUCCCUUUUUUGGCUCUUUCCUUGGUGGUCUCCCAUGCUAUUUAAAAAUUUUACUUCUCUUAUAGGGUGUUGUCUGCAUCUGCCCACUUACCGCUGUUUAUUUUUUGCCUCAAAUUUUCUGUUCAAUAAAAAAUGAUGGUUGAAGUUCCUAGGUAGCCAGUAUACGUGAGGUUAAAUGGACAAUUUAGCUAGAUGGUCUGAUUAAUUUCACAUGUGUUGGCUGCUAGUCUUAUUCACCAUCAUUUUUUCAAGUAGGGAACUUGCUGGCAGUUGGAUUAUUCCUUUGUCCUUCAACAGCCAAAAUUUCUUUCUUCCAUUCAUUCUUCCACUCCAAUCAUAAUAUAAAUCAUUUUACUGGAAUUGGCUAAUGUGGCAGUUUAUUCACUGUCCAGAAGCAUUAUUUUUAUUCAAGUGAUAAUUGGAGCUCUAAUACUAUGUGCUGCAUUGAA